GUAAAGCACUUUCAGUUGUGAGGAAAAGUUAGUAGUUAAUACCUGCUAGCCGUGACGUUAACAACAGAAGAAGCACCGGCUAACUCCGUGCCAGCAGCCGCGGUAAUACGGAGGGUGCGAGCGUUAAUCGGAAUUACUGGGCGUAAAGCGCACGCAGGCGGUUUGUUAAGCUAGAUGUGAAAGCCCCGGGCUCAACCUGGGAUGGUCAUUUAGAACUGGCAGACUAGAGUCUUGGAGAGGGGAGUGGAAUUCCAGGUGUAGCGGUGAAAUGCGUAGAUAUCUGGAGGAACAUCAGUGGCGAAG
Molecule: ribosomal RNA, 303 nt
Filed under: Alteromonas macleodii
Lineage: Bacteria; Pseudomonadati; Pseudomonadota; Gammaproteobacteria; Alteromonadales; Alteromonadaceae
Also listed under: 2 other names
Description: bacterial SSU rRNA
Rfam family: Bacterial small subunit ribosomal RNA
Source: RNAcentral